AAACAAUGGAGAGUUUGAUCCUGGCUCAGGAUGAACGCUGGCGGCGUGCCUAAUACAUGCAAGUCGAACGCGGGCACUUGUGCCCGAGUGGCGAACGGGUGAGUAAUACAUAAGUAACCUGGCCUUUACAGGGGGAUAACUGCUGGAAACGGUAGCUAAGACCGCAUAGGUAGGGACACUGCAUGGUGACCGUAUUAAAAGUGCUGCAAGGCACUGGUAGAGGAUGGACUU
Molecule: ribosomal RNA, 231 nt
Filed under: Thomasclavelia cocleata
Lineage: Bacteria; Bacillati; Bacillota; Erysipelotrichia; Erysipelotrichales; Coprobacillaceae
Description: [Clostridium] cocleatum 16S rRNA. Bacterial SSU
Rfam family: Bacterial small subunit ribosomal RNA
Source: RNAcentral